UCUGAGUCACGCCAACACUGCCUGAAUCCGAGUCGGGGUGGCCUAAGUGGCACCCCAGAAUACGAUUGCAUGCUACGAGUCAAAGGAGGAAAAGUAACAAGACCAAGUUCCGUUCCUGCAGGUCUUCGUUGCAGCAUUAUUUUUUAGUGGAAACAUGGAAACUCCGAAUGUUCCCCUCCAGGGUAGCUAGGUCAACCGCAAUGCAGCUGGCCUUUCUAGCUCCUCUCCAGACAUGCUACUUGUGAGUGAACGGCAGGACCACCUUUCCUAGGUGCAGAAGAACUGGGGUGAGAGCUUUUGGUGCAGGG
Molecule: long non-coding RNA, 308 nt
Organism: Condylura cristata (star-nosed mole)
Lineage: Eukaryota; Metazoa; Chordata; Mammalia; Eulipotyphla; Talpidae
Exons: 3
Source: RefSeq, a predicted model, not a curated record